UUGGCGGACGGGUGAGUAACGCGUGGGUAACCUGCCCCAUACCGGGGGAUACCACCUGGAAACAGGUGCUAAUACCGCAUAAGCGCACGGGAGCGCAUGCUCCUGUGUGAAAAACUCCGGUGGUAUGGGAUGGACCCGCGUCUGAUUAGCCAGUUGGCAGGGUAACGGCCUACCAAAGCGACGAUCAGUAGCCGGCCUGAGAGGGUGGACGGCCACAUUGGGACUGAGACACGGCCCAAACUCCUACGGAAGGCAGCAG
This 259-nucleotide ribosomal RNA is filed under the name uncultured bacterium. Its description in RNAcentral is "partial 16S ribosomal RNA". It matches the Rfam family "Bacterial small subunit ribosomal RNA", at positions 95 to 354 of the family's 1533-position model. The record is from RNAcentral.